RNAcentral lists this ribosomal RNA (790 nucleotides) under uncultured Actinomycetes bacterium. RNAcentral's name for it is "bacterial SSU rRNA". It matches the Rfam family "Bacterial small subunit ribosomal RNA", at positions 91 to 896 of the family's 1533-position model. The record is from RNAcentral. Lineage: Bacteria; Bacillati; Actinomycetota; Actinomycetes.
UCGAGUGGCGAACGGGUGAGUAACACGUGGGUGAUCUGCCUUGCACUUCGGGAUAAGCUUGGGAAACUGGGUCUAAUACCGGAUAGGACAGCUGUUUAGUGUCAGUUGUGGAAAGUUUUUUCGGUGCAAGAUGAGCUCGCGGCCUAUCAGCUUGUUGGUGGGGUAAUGGCCUACCAAGGCGUCGACGGGUAGCCGGCCUGAGAGGGUGUACGGCCACAUUGGGACUGAGAUACGGCCCAGACUCCUACGGGAGGCAGCAGUGGGGAAUAUUGCACAAUGGGCGGAAGCCUGAUGCAGCGACGCCGCGUGGGGGAUGAAGGCCUUCGGGUUGUAAACUCCUUUCGACAGGGACGAAGCGUAAGUGACGGUACCUGUAUAAGAAGCACCGGCUAACUACGUGCCAGCAGCCGCGGUAAUACGUAGGGUGCGAGCGUUGUCCGGAAUUACUGGGCGUAAAGAGCUCGUAGGUGGUUUGUCGCGUCGUCUGUGAAAUUCCGGGGCUUAACUCCGGGCGUGCAGGCGAUACGGGCUGACUUGAGUGCUGUAGGGGAGACUGGAAUUCCUGGUGUAGCGGUGAAAUGCGCAGAUAUCAGGAGGAACACCGAUGGCGAAGGCAGGUCUCUGGGCAGUAACUGACGCUGAGGAGCGAAAGCAUGGGUAGCGAACAGGAUUAGAUACCCUGGUAGUCCAUGCCGUAAACGGUGGGCGCUAGGUGUAGGGGGCUUCCACGUCUUCUGUGCCGUAGCUAACGCAUUAAGCGCCCCGCCAUGGGGAGUACGCCGCAAGGCUA